UGAGGGAUAUUGCGCAAUGGGCGAAAGCCUGACGCAGCGACACCGCGUGAAGGAUGAAGGUCUUAGGAUUGUAAACUUCUGUUAAGUGGGAAGAAAAGCAUGGUCCUAAUAUGAUCAUGAAAUGACGGUACCACUAGAGAAAGCACCGGCUAACUUCGUGCCAGCAGCCGCGGUAAGACGAGGGGUGCAAACGUUAUUCGGAAUGAUUGGGCGUAAAGGGUGCGCAGGCGGCUCAUUAAGUCAAUCGUUAAAUUCCCCGGCCUAACCGGGGGUCAGCGAUAGAAACUGAUAAGCUUGAGGAUGGAAGAGAGAAGUGGAAUUCUCGGAGUAGCGGUAAAAUGCGUAGAUCUCGAGAGGAACACCGAUGGCGAAGGCAGCUUCUUGGUCCAUUUCUGACGCUCAUGCACGAAAGCGUGGGGAGCAAACAGG
Molecule: ribosomal RNA, 429 nt
Filed under: uncultured bacterium
Lineage: Bacteria
Description: bacterial SSU rRNA
Rfam family: Bacterial small subunit ribosomal RNA
Source: RNAcentral